AAAGUGAGCUGCAUUGUUUUUUCUCGUUAUUUUUUAAGGUGCUUGAAAAAACGUACUUCUUUGGUUCACCGAGCGCACUGCUUUUACAAAGAAAAGAUUUUACAAACUGAGUAAUCCACACAAAUAGUCCCUUUUUAUGUCUCCACAUUACAGUCACACACAAAGUACAACCCAACUUCAUUUUUUUCCUGAAAUGCACUAAACCGCACGCAUUAACAUAGCAAGAAUGCAAAUGGUUCGCGCUGCCGAACCGCACGCACUCGUCAGACGUAAUGCACACACUGUAAAUGCACUGUACAAGCAAGCUAGCUGCAAAACAAACUUCAGUGAGCUGCAAAACAAUCUUCAGUGAGCUGCAGAUAGGGUCCCCUCACCGGUUGAACGGAUUAGGUGGGGGUUGAUUUGUGACGAAAUGCUCACAGCACUUCUUACAUGGGCACCGCCACCGGACUGCACAACCGCGUGCACCACACUGCACGACACAUGCCGGAUACUGUGAGGGCUCACCACCAAUGGACUGCAUCAACGCACUGCAAAAUAUACCCAAUGGAAGCUUCUGAACUGCACCCAAAUUACAUCAGUUUUUCUGAAAAACAUUGGAAAUUAUUCUGAACAGCAACAAUACCGGGAUGGGAUGCACAUGGUGAGCUGCAUGGCAUCGCGCCUCCGUACUGCAUGCCGUUGGUGGCUAGGACCUCGUCAGAAUAAGAGGAAAGGGGUCGGCAGAGAGGUUGGGGAGAAGAGCCCCUCGUCGUCUUGCUGUAGAGGAGGUAGGGGAAGGUCACCUGAAUGAGGAGGAACUGCUCAGGAUGAAGAAGAGAGCGGCGCCGCGACGCCAAAGAAACUGCACGCGCACUCUUCGUGCACUGCACACACGCGAGAGCAGCUGUGGAGUGCAGGCCGUCGGAGAAGAUCUCACUGGAGGAACUCGCCAUCAGUGGUCGGGUGGUCGGGGGACAGCCGAAUCC
RNAcentral lists this long non-coding RNA (968 nucleotides) under Triticum aestivum (bread wheat). RNAcentral's name for it is "long non-coding RNA (TAES_LNC006926)". Lineage: Eukaryota; Viridiplantae; Streptophyta; Magnoliopsida; Poales; Poaceae. The record is from RNAcentral.